GUGGGGAAUCUUCCGCAAUGGACGAAAGCCUGACCCAGCAACGCCGCGUGAAGGAAGAAGGUCUUCGGAUCGUAAACUUCUAUCCUUGGUGAAGAUAAUGACGGUAGCCGAGAAGGAAGCCCCGGCUAACUACGUGCCAGCAGCCGCGGUAAUACGUAGGGGGCAAGCGUUGUCCGGAAUGAUUGGGCGUAAAGGGCGCGUAGGCGGCCUGGUAAGUCUGGAGUGAAAGUCCUGCUUUUAAGGUGGGAAUUGCUUUGGAUACUGUCGGGCUUGAGUGCAGGAGAGGUAAGCGGAAUUCCCGGUGUAGCGGUGAAAUGCGUAGAGAUCGGGAGGAACACCAGUGGCGAAGGCGACUUACUGGACUGUAACUGACGCUGAGGCGCGAAAGUGUGGGGAGCAAACAGGAUUAGAUACCCCGGUAGUCC
Molecule: ribosomal RNA, 425 nt
Filed under: uncultured bacterium
Lineage: Bacteria
Description: partial 16S ribosomal RNA
Rfam family: Bacterial small subunit ribosomal RNA
Source: RNAcentral